UCCGCGGUAGCUCAGCUGGUAGAGCAAUCGGCUGUUAACCGAUCGGUCGUUGGUUCGAGUCCAACCCGCGGAGCCA
Molecule: transfer RNA, 76 nt
Filed under: Alphaproteobacteria bacterium
Lineage: Bacteria; Pseudomonadati; Pseudomonadota; Alphaproteobacteria
Description: tRNA-Asn
Rfam family: tRNA
About the family: Transfer RNA (tRNA) molecules are approximately 80 nucleotides in length.
Source: RNAcentral